GAUGAACGCUGGCGGCGUGCCUAAUACAUGCAAGUCGAGCGAACAGACGAGGAGCUUGCUCCUCUGACGUUAGCGGCGGACGGGUGAGUAACACGUGGAUAACCUACCUAUAAGACUGGGAUAACUUCGGGAAACCGGAGCUAAUACCGGAUAAUAUAUUGAACCGCAUGGUUCAAUAGUGAAAGACGGUUUUGCUGUCACUUAUAGAUGGAUCCGCGCCGCAUUAGCUAGUUGGUAAGGUAACGGCUUACCAAGGCGACGAUGCGUAGCCGACCUGAGAGGGUGGUCGGCGACACUGGAACUGGGACACGGUCCAGACUACUACGGGAGGCAGCAGUAGGGAAUCUUACGCAGUGGGCGAAAGCCUGACGGAGCAACGCCGCGUGAGUGAUGAAGGUCUUCGGAUCGUAAAACUCUGUUAUUAGGGAAGAACAAAUGUGUAAGUAACUGUGCACGUCUUGACGGUACCUAAUCAGAAAGCCACGGCUAACUACGUG
RNAcentral lists this ribosomal RNA (497 nucleotides) under uncultured bacterium. Its description in RNAcentral is "partial 16S ribosomal RNA". It matches the Rfam family "Bacterial small subunit ribosomal RNA", at positions 28 to 507 of the family's 1533-position model. The record is from RNAcentral.